This 188-nucleotide ribosomal RNA is filed under the name Acinetobacter pittii. RNAcentral describes it as "partial 16S ribosomal RNA". It matches the Rfam family "Bacterial small subunit ribosomal RNA", at positions 1 to 186 of the family's 1533-position model. Lineage: Bacteria; Pseudomonadati; Pseudomonadota; Gammaproteobacteria; Moraxellales; Moraxellaceae. The record is from RNAcentral.
UUUAACUGAAGAGUUUGAUCAUGGCUCAGAUUGAACGCUGGCGGCAGGCUUAACACAUGCAAGUCGAGCGGAGAGAGGUAGCUUGCUACUGAUCUUAGCGGCGGACGGGUGAGUAAUGCUUAGGAAUCUGCCUAUUAGUGGGGGACAACAUUUCGAAAGGAAUGCUAAUACCGCAUACGUCCUUCGGG